This 253-nucleotide ribosomal RNA is filed under the name uncultured bacterium. Its description in RNAcentral is "partial 16S ribosomal RNA". It matches the Rfam family "Bacterial small subunit ribosomal RNA", at positions 524 to 776 of the family's 1533-position model. The record is from RNAcentral.
UACGUAGGGGGCGAGCGUUGUCCGGAUUUAUUGGGCGUAAAGAGCGUGUAGGCGGCCAGGUAGGUCUGCUGUGAAAACUCGAGGCUCAACCUCGAGACGUCGGCGGAAACCAUCUGGCUAGAGUCCGGAAGAGGAGAGUGGAAUUCCUGGUGUAGCGGUGAAAUGCGUAGAUAUCUGGAGGAACACCGGUGGCGAAGGCGGCAUCCUGGACCGGCAUUGACGCUGAGGCGCGAAAGCUAGGGGAGCAAACGGG